GACGAACCGUGCGAACGUUAUUCGGAAUCACUGGGCUUAAAGCGCGUGUAGGCGGACGGGGACGUCGGUCGCUGAAAUCCCCCGGCUCAACCGGGGAACGGGCGCCGAGACGCCCCGUCUCGAGGGACGUAGGGGGACCUGGAACUUCCGGUGGAGCGGUGAAAUGCGUUGAGAUCGGAAGGAACGCCCGUGGCGAAAGCGAGGUCCUGGACGUCUACUGACGCUGAGACGCGAAAGCUAGGGGAGCGAACGGG
This 254-nucleotide ribosomal RNA is filed under the name uncultured bacterium. Its description in RNAcentral is "partial 16S ribosomal RNA". It matches the Rfam family "Bacterial small subunit ribosomal RNA", at positions 524 to 776 of the family's 1533-position model. The record is from RNAcentral.